GCAGUUUAUUGUGCAAUCGCAUGGCGUAAGCCAUGAGGAAAGUCCGGGCAUCACAGAGCGGGGUAGCUGUUAACGGCAGCCGAAGGCGACUUUAGGGCAAGUGCAACAGAAACAAACUACUAUGCAAAUAGUACAGGUGGAAAGGUGAGGUAAAAGCUCACCGGAAUAACGGAGACGUUAUUGCUGUGUAAACCCUAUCCGAUGCAACGCUGGAACGUUUGGGGAAAUAUACGUCUGCUCGGCGUACCCUUAGUGAAGGCGGCUUGAACAAAGCGGCGACGCUUUGUCUUAGACAGAUGAUUGUGCGCGACAGAACCCGGCUUACAGAUAAACUGCCGCC
This 340-nucleotide RNase P RNA is filed under the name Oscillospiraceae bacterium. RNAcentral's name for it is "RNase P RNA component class A". It matches the Rfam family "Bacterial RNase P class A". Rfam says of the family: Ribonuclease P (RNase P) is a ubiquitous endoribonuclease, found in archaea, bacteria and eukarya as well as chloroplasts and mitochondria. The record is from RNAcentral. Lineage: Bacteria; Bacillati; Bacillota; Clostridia; Eubacteriales; Oscillospiraceae.